RNAcentral lists this ribosomal RNA (208 nucleotides) under uncultured bacterium. RNAcentral's name for it is "partial 16S ribosomal RNA". It matches the Rfam family "Bacterial small subunit ribosomal RNA", at positions 568 to 774 of the family's 1533-position model. The record is from RNAcentral.
CGCGUAGGCGGCAAUUCAAGUCAGCUGUGAAAUCUCCGAGCUUAACUCGGAACUGUCAGCUGAUACUGCUUUGCUUGAGUGCGGAAGGGGCAAUCGGAAUUCUUGGUGUAGCGGUGAAAUGCGUAGAUAUCAAGAGGAACACCUGAGGUGAAGACGGGUUGCUGGGCCGACACUGACGCUGACAGCGCGAAAGCCAGGGGAGCAAACG